RNAcentral lists this ribosomal RNA (253 nucleotides) under uncultured bacterium. RNAcentral's name for it is "partial 16S ribosomal RNA". It matches the Rfam family "Bacterial small subunit ribosomal RNA", at positions 524 to 776 of the family's 1533-position model. The record is from RNAcentral.
UACGUAGGGUGCGAGCGUUAAUCGGAAUUACUGGGCGUAAAGUGUGCGCAGGCGGCCGCGCAAGUCGAGUGUGAAAGCCCCGGGCUUAACUUGGGAAUUGCGCUCGAAGCUACGUGGCUAGAGUGUGGCAGAGGGAGGUGGAAUUCCACGUGUAGCGGUGAAAUGCGUAGAGAUGUGGAGGAACACCGAUGGCGAAGGCAGCCUCCUGGGCCAACACUGACGCUCAUGCACGAAAGCGUGGGGAGCAAACAGG